GGUGUAGCUCAGUGGUAGAGCACUUGUUGAGCAAGUGUGAGGCCCUGGGUUCGAUUCCUAGCACCA
Molecule: transfer RNA, 66 nt
Filed under: Marmota monax (woodchuck)
Lineage: Eukaryota; Metazoa; Chordata; Mammalia; Rodentia; Sciuridae
Description: tRNA.Ser
Rfam family: tRNA
About the family: Transfer RNA (tRNA) molecules are approximately 80 nucleotides in length. Their secondary structure includes four short double-helical elements and three loops (D, anti-codon, and T loops).
Source: RNAcentral